GUGGUUAGAGCGCACCCCUGAUAAGGGUGAGGUCCCUGGUUCGAGUCCAGGAUGGCCCACUUGUAGCGGGGGUAUAGCUCAGUUGGUAGAGCGCCUGCUUUGCAAGCAGGAUGUCAGCGGUUCGAGUCCGCUUACCUCCAUACCCUUUGAUGAUACGGAUUUAGCACCCUAGUUGAAGAAUUAGGCUGCUGGAUGCGAAUCCAGUAAGAACCUUGACAAUUACAUAGUGAGAGAAGCAGGUAGUAGUCAAUGCUGUGAGAGCAGUGUUGAUGAACCAAGAAACAGAAAUCGAAUCUAGCCGAAUAGC
Molecule: transfer RNA, 307 nt
Filed under: Oscillatoria sp. CCAP 1459/26
Lineage: Bacteria; Bacillati; Cyanobacteriota; Cyanophyceae; Oscillatoriales; Oscillatoriaceae
Description: partial 16S-23S ribosomal RNA intergenic spacer
Rfam family: tRNA (bases 68-140)
Source: RNAcentral